RNAcentral lists this ribosomal RNA (485 nucleotides) under uncultured bacterium. RNAcentral's name for it is "partial 16S ribosomal RNA". It matches the Rfam family "Bacterial small subunit ribosomal RNA", at positions 29 to 523 of the family's 1533-position model. The record is from RNAcentral.
AGUGAACGCUGGCGGCGUGCUUAACACAUGCAAGUCGAACGAGAACGGAAUAUAGCUUGCUAUAUUUGUCAGCUAAGUGGCGCACGGGUGAGGAAUGUAUAGAUAACCUGCCCUUAAGAAAGGAAUAACAGUUGGAAACGACUGCUAAUGCCCUAUAUGCCUUUAAUACAUAAGUAUGCAAGGGAAAGGCUUUAGUGCUUAAGGAUGGGUCUGUAUGGUAUCAGCUUGUUGGUGAGGUAAUGGCUCACCAAGGCUAUGACGCCUAACUGGUUUGAGAGGAUGAUCAGUCACACUGGAACUGAGACACGGUCCAGACUCCUACGGGAGGCAGCAGUGGGGAAUAUUGCACAAUGGACGAGAGUCUGAUGCAGCAACGCCGCGUGGAGGAUGACACAUUUCGGUGCGUAAACUCCUUUUAUAUAGGAAGAUAAUGACGGUACUAUAUGAAUAAGCACCGGCUAACUCCGUGCCAGCCGCCGCCGUAA